AAACAGGAUUAGAUACCCUGGUAGUCCACGCCGUAAACGAUGUCGAUUUGGAGGUUGUGCCCUUGAGGCGUGGCUUCCGGAGCUAACGCGUUAAAUCGACCGCCUGGGGAGUACGGCCGCAAGGUUAAAACUCAAAUGAAUUGACGGGGGCCCGCACAAGCGGUGGAGCAUGUGGUUUAAUUCGAUGCAACGCGAAGAACCUUACCUGGUCUUGACAUCCACAGAACUUAGCAGAGAUGCUUUGGUGCCUUCGGGAACUGUGAGACAGGUGCUGCAUGGCUGUCGUCAGCUCGUGUUGUGAAAUGUUGGGUUAAGUCCCGCAACGAGCGCAACCCUUAUCCUUUGUUGCCAGCGGUCCGGCCGGGAACUCAAAGGAGACUGCCAGUGAUAAACNUGGAGGAAGGUGGGGAUGACGUCAAGUCAUCAUGGCCCUUACGACCAGGGCUACACACGUGCUACAAUGGCAUAUACAAAGAGAAGCGACCUCGCGAGAGCAAGCGGACCUCAUAAAGUAUGUCGUAGUCCGGAUUGGAGUCUGCAACUCGACUCCAUGAAGUCGGAAUCGCUAGUAAUCGUAGAUCAGAAUGCUACGG
This 593-nucleotide ribosomal RNA is filed under the name Klebsiella pneumoniae. RNAcentral's name for it is "bacterial SSU rRNA". It matches the Rfam family "Bacterial small subunit ribosomal RNA", at positions 770 to 1362 of the family's 1533-position model. Lineage: Bacteria; Pseudomonadati; Pseudomonadota; Gammaproteobacteria; Enterobacterales; Enterobacteriaceae. The record is from RNAcentral.